GACGGAGGGUGCAAGCGUUUUUCGGAAUCACUGGGCGUAAAGCGCGUGUAGGCGGUCCGAUAAGUCGAGUGUGAAAGCCCGAGGCUCAACCUCGGAAGUGCAUUCGAAACUGUCGGGCUUGAGUACGGGAGAGGGAAGUGGAAUUCCUGGUGUAGAGGUGAAAUUCGUAGAUAUCAGGAGGAACACCGGUGGCGAAGGCGGCUUCCUGGACCGAUACUGACGCUGAGACGCGAAAGCGUGGGGAGCAAACAGG
RNAcentral lists this ribosomal RNA (253 nucleotides) under uncultured bacterium. RNAcentral's name for it is "partial 16S ribosomal RNA". It matches the Rfam family "Bacterial small subunit ribosomal RNA", at positions 524 to 776 of the family's 1533-position model. The record is from RNAcentral.